GCCGGCAAAGCCAUGCAAAAGUUUGUGGGUAGCAGGGAUUAGUAAGUCUGUGUCAAAAGAAGAAUUGGAAGAUCAAUUCAAGGGAUUUGGUACAAUUCAAGAAUAUAAGUUCAUCAGGGAUCGCAACACCGCAUACAUUGAUUUUGCUAGACUGGAAGACGCAGCAGAAGCACUGAAGAACAUGAAUGGAAAAAAAUUUGGUGGCGAACAGAUUCGUGUGGAUUAUCUCAGGUCACAACCUACGAGAAGAGAGCAAGGACCGGAGUAUCGGGAAAUGAGGGAUGGACAGUAUCACAAUAGGAACGUUGGCCAUCCUGACAGUCGGCUUAUGCCUCAAGAUUUUGCCAGGAACUACUCUGAUCCUAUGCAUGCUGGCUUCAGAAGGCAACAUCCAUUUCAGUUGCCAGUGGGACAAGGACAUGGACAACCUAGUAAAAUCUUGUCUAUAGGUUAUCCUCCUUCUGUCCAUGUCGACGAGGAUAUGCUACACAAUGCUAUGAUUUU
This 504-nucleotide unclassified non-coding RNA is filed under the name Hevea brasiliensis (rubber tree). The record is from RNAcentral. Lineage: Eukaryota; Viridiplantae; Streptophyta; Magnoliopsida; Malpighiales; Euphorbiaceae.